Molecule: ribosomal RNA, 1217 nt
Filed under: Streptomyces olivaceus
Lineage: Bacteria; Bacillati; Actinomycetota; Actinomycetes; Kitasatosporales; Streptomycetaceae
Description: partial 23S ribosomal RNA
Rfam family: Bacterial large subunit ribosomal RNA
Source: RNAcentral
GGCCAAGUUUUUAAGGGCGCACGGUGGAUGCCUUGGCACCAGGAACCGAUGAAGGACGUGGGAGGCCACGAUAGGCCCCGGGGAGUCGUCAACCAGGCUUUGAUCCGGGGGUGUCCGAAUGGGGAAACCCGGCAGUCGUCAUGGGCUGUCACCCGCUGCUGAACUCAUAGGCAGUGUGGAGGGAACGCGGGGAAGUGAAACAUCUCAGUACCCGCAGGAAGAGAAAACAACCGUGAUUCCGGGAGUAGUGGCGAGCGAAACCGGAUGAGGCCAAACCGUAUACGUGUGAGACCCGGCAGGGGUUGCGUGUGCGGGGUUGUGGGAUCUCUCUUCUGUUGUCUGCCGGCAACAGGACGAGUCAGAAACCGUUGAUGUAGGCGAAGGACAUGCGAAAGGUCCGGCGUAGAGGGUAAGACCCCCGUAGUCGAAACAUUAGCGGCUCGUUUGAGAGACACCCAAGUAGCACGGGGCCCGAGAAAUCCCGUGUGAAUCUGGCGGGACCACCCGCUAAGCCUAAAUAUUCCCUGGUGACCGAUAGCGGAUAGUACCGUGAGGGAAUGGUGAAAAGUACCGCGGGAGCGGAGUGAAAUAGUACCUGAAACCGUGUGCCUACAAGCCGUGGGAGCGUCGCGCAAGGACUUGUCCUUGCGUCGUGACUGCGUGCCUUUUGAAGAAUGAGCCUGCGAGUUUGCGGUGUGUUGCGAGGUUAACCCGAGUGGGGAAGCCGUAGCGAAAGCGAGUCCGAACAGGGCGCUGUAGUAGCACGCUCAAGACCCGAAGCGGAGUGAUCUAGCCAUGGGCAGGUUGAAGCGGAGGUAAGACUUCGUGGAGGACCGAACCCACCAGGGUUGAAAACCUGGGGGAUGACCUGUGGUUAGGGGUGAAAGGCCAAUCAAACUCCGUGAUAGCUGGUUCUCCCCGAAAUGCAUUUAGGUGCAGCGUCGUGUGUUUCUUGCCGGAGGUAGAGCACUGGAUAGGCGAUGGGCCCUACCGGGUUACUGACCUUAGCCAAACUCCGAAUGCCGGUAAGUGAGAGCGCGGCAGUGAGACUGUGGGGGAUAAGCUCCAUGGUCGAGAGGGAAACAGCCCAGAGCAUCGACUAAGGCCCCUAAGCGUACGCUAAGUGGGAAAGGAUGUGGAGUCGCACAGACAACCAGGAGGUUGGCUUAGAAGCAGCCACCCUUGAAAGAGUGCGUAAUAGCUCACUGGUCUAGUGA